RNAcentral lists this ribosomal RNA (301 nucleotides) under uncultured bacterium. Its description in RNAcentral is "partial 16S ribosomal RNA". It matches the Rfam family "Bacterial small subunit ribosomal RNA", at positions 509 to 807 of the family's 1533-position model. The record is from RNAcentral.
CAGCAGCCGCGGUAAUACGUGGGGUGCAAGCGUUAUCCGGAUUUAUUGGGUUUAAAGGGUCCGUAGGCGGACUUAUAAGUCAGUGGUGAAAGCCUGUCGCUUAACGAUAGAACUGCCAUUGAUACUGUAAGUCUUGAGUAUAUUUGAGGUAGCUGGAAUAAGUAGUGUAGCGGUGAAAUGCAUAGAUAUUACUUAGAACACCAAUUGCGAAGGCAGGUUACCAAGAUAUAACUGACGCUGAGGGACGAAAGCGUGGGUAGCGAACAGGAUUAGAUACCCCUGUAGUCCCUGUCUCUUAUAC